Coturnix japonica (Japanese quail) is the source of this 2396-nucleotide long non-coding RNA. RefSeq lists it as uncharacterized. Lineage: Eukaryota; Metazoa; Chordata; Aves; Galliformes; Phasianidae. The record is from RefSeq and is a predicted model, not a curated record.
UGGAGCCAUUAGAAGAUCAGCCAACCUCUUCCUCUCAGCUCUUGGGAUAAGAUUUUCAAGGCCAUCAGCUUUCAGGAUCGUGGCCUCCUGUGUGGCUCAGCAACACAAAGCUUUAAUCUUCAGUCAAAACAACUAUCAAACACUUUGCAACCCUCCCUGUCAUCAAGAAACCUGCUGUUUAAAAGCUCUCUGCUUUUAGGCUCUGAUCUCUCUGCUACCUUCAGCUGGGAGUAAAAACCUGAAAAAUUGGAAAAAAUUGGAGAAAAGCAAUUCUUCAUCUCUCUGAGGAGACUGAUUAUUAUGGGAAUGUAGUGGCAUCCUCGGUUUCCUUUGCUGCAUCUCUAAUUCCACAGAUGUGAGGAAUUCAGGCAGCACAAGGGCUGCUAUCCUUGCACCCCUGAGUGUUUCCCACUGCUACUCCCUCCUUGUUAACGCUGUGCAAUCAGCCAGUUCACAAGCAAUUAAUAACGGUUCUGAUUGCAUUUCUUCUCCUCUGCCCUCCUGCUGGCAGAGGCAUCCGCUCAGGUCUGUCACAAGCUCUUCAGGGCAUGUGCAUCUUGUCCUCCCACUGCCAGGUGGAGAGAAGUACCUUAAGGUCUUUGAGAGAUGUAGGUUGCUGUCCAGUACCAAUUUCCUUCAUUUACAGUGGUGCGGGUUGAUCUUGAUUAUUCUUGAACUCAAUUUUAAUUCAAUUUUAAUUAACAGGACCUUACCCCCAAAAGAUCUAUGCUGGCAUUAAGGCUAUGUGAAUCCACGAGAAACGUAAUGAAUAUCUGCAGUUGGACAUUUGGGCUCCUGAAUGAAGCAGUCGACUGCAAAGUGAGUUGGAAGGUUCCCUGCAUGGCAGCAGGCAGCACAACAAAAGAAUAAUGCAGCCUUCAUGUGGUAGAAUCAUAGAAUGGCUUAGGUAGGAGCUUAAAAAUCAUCCAGUUCCAAUCUCCUGCCGUGGGCAGGUUGCCAGCUACUAGAUCAAAGUCAAGGACCAAGGCUGUUGCUUCUCUUGACAAGCUGCAAUAUGGAAGGUCCAGCAUUCUUUAUGGGGUGGUUUAACCCCAUCAGAGCCCAAUUGCUUCUGGCCAAUUAAAGUACAGCAGAACACCUUGGGUAUUUUGGCUUUGUUGGAGGAGCAGCAAGAGGAUGGAGAAAACUUUCACACUGUGGUUGAUCUGUUCAGAUAAUAGCUGGCCAGCACCACCUCAGUUACAUGACCUUCUGGCUUCAGUGCACGUAUGCAACAACCAGACUUUCACGAGAUCUGAGCUCAGAAUACUUGAUUUCUAUCAGCUCUCAGUAGAUUAAGAGAAAAGAUUUAACCCAUAGAAAUGAGGACCCCUGUGGGUAAGGAGAGCAGGCUGUUCUUCUUGCAAGCAAAAACUGUGUGACAAAGGAUAAUAGAAAAGUGUAACAGUAAGUCAAAGCAGCUACCUGGGAUCCAGUAACCUGUAGUAUCUGCUGAUUGGGCUGGUGCUUCAACAACCACCAACUCAGCAUUUGCCUGAGUGGAAAACAUUGAAAACCAUUGGAUUUGAACUCUAGGAAAGUAGAGACCUUGGUUCAAUAGGUACCACUCUUAUAGCAGUAAAUGCAGUCUCCAGCUGUGUCAUCACUCUAUUAAAAGAUGCUGCUUUUCACUGCAAAGCCUGAUUCCCACAUUUCCACAGUAAGGGGAUCCACCUCAGCACUUACAAGUGUCCAACUGCACAGUCUUUCAGAAAUAAUGACUAAUUACUCAUUCUCAUACCCAGAGCUCUCUUGGAGGCUGUCUUCAGGUCAGGGCUCCACCGCGUACCCAUUCUUGCAUUCGCAAGUGAUACAAUCUCUUUCAACACAUGCCUGUAACUAAAAGAAAACGUGUGCCGUUUCAUCACGUUCGGCUCAGCAGGAUGCUCGCCCUGCAUCAGGCUCAAGCAUGGGUCAGCAGCAAGCUGGAUCGAUUGGGAUUUCACAAUUUCAUUCCCGUUGGCCAGCAAAGCAUUGCCUGGUGCAGCCCCAAGGAGUGAUUUCUGCAGAACCGCUUGAAACAUACCCACAUCAUCCAGUCUUUGGCAGCUAAUUCUUUAAGCUCAUAUUUAAUUCAUUUUGUGUGCUGUGUUGAUUUGGCACUGAUCUGUCUUCUUGAACAUUACAUCGUGGGAUACCAAGUCAAAUAUUUUACAGAAGCUAAAAUCAACACUAUUUCCUUUAUUAAGCAAAAUUGUAAUCUUGUUAUAAAAAAAAUGCAGUUAGUUUUAGGAGACCUAUUCCUCAUCAGCCCCCGUUGAUGGGAUUAAUGGUAUUAUCGCUUACUAUUUUUUAAUUUCUGCAAUUGUUCCUCAUUGCCUGGGAUCCAUUAUCUCCCCAGGACCAAAGCUCAGCAGGCCUAUAGAUAUCCAAAUCAUUCAGCUUUCCCUUCAAUA